GAUCAAAUUGGCAGCGGCGACUCUGGACGCGUGCCGCUUCUCGCGGAUCUCCCCAGCUACGGUGCU
RNAcentral lists this ribosomal RNA (66 nucleotides) under Salmo salar (Atlantic salmon). The record is from RNAcentral. Lineage: Eukaryota; Metazoa; Chordata; Actinopteri; Salmoniformes; Salmonidae.